Molecule: long non-coding RNA, 5358 nt
Filed under: Sus scrofa (pig)
Lineage: Eukaryota; Metazoa; Chordata; Mammalia; Artiodactyla; Suidae
Description: lncRNA (ENSSSCG00000058449.1)
Source: RNAcentral
GUACCUUGUUCAAUGGUCAGUUCUGUAGGCCCAGUACUGUCUGCACAUUAAACAGCUGGGAGAGCUUUAAGCAACAAAUAAAUGCUGCCCUGGUCCCACCCCAGACCAACUGAAUCUUGAUUUCUGGGUGUGAAGCCCUGGCACUGGCACAUUUAGAAAUCUCCACAGGUGAUUCUGGUGCAUGAAGAAGGUUGACAACUACUAUGUUAGUUAACCUUUCUUUACUUGGCUAUGUUCUGUUUGCUUCCAAGUUUGGAAUAAACCUGUUUGAAUUCUUUUGCGGAACAAAUAUCUCUAUCACUGAAAAGAUACUGGUGCUAUUUCAUAGUGAGAGUAGAAUAAAUUUUCUUAUCUAUAGAAUGGGAAUAAUAGCAACUACCUCUUAAGAUUGUUGUAAAAAUUAAAUGACCUAAUCUAUUUAGAUCUCUAAAACUCUUAAAACACUAUCUAGGCUGUAAGUAUUUGAUAAAUACAUGAAAAAGAGGGUGAUGUGUUUGUUACUGUUGUUUUCUUCCUUGGUUAAUGACUCCAUUUUCCUCCCAGAUAAAGCUCCCAGAACAGUUUUUGACUCCAGCCUGUCCUUUCAUCAUAUCCCUUGUCAAGUCCUGUUCCUCAGACCCUAAGCAAUCUGGAAACUGCCCCUUCUUUUUCAUCCCAUUGCCCCGGUGCUAAUCCCUGCUCCUUUUCCUGUCUCUCCUGGAUUGUGGCUGUCAAACCAGUCUCUUUAGCAAUGAUCUCUUUGUGUCUCAAUCAUCCCGAAAUGGUUCUCAAAUUGUCCUAAAGUCAAGCUGUGACUGCCAAGCUCAAAACUCGAACUUAUGUCCUCAUUGCUAUGAAAAUUCAAAUCCAAGUUUAAUGAGUUGGGCAGUUUAGUUACUUUCUCCAAGACUCCAUUUCUUUGUGUUUAAUGGGGAUCAUAUAAUUUUCUACUCAAUAGGGUUGUUGGUGAGAAUAGAAUCAGAGAAUAAAGUAUCUAGAAAGCUGCAUGGCGCAUAAGGGCUUUGUAAAUAUUAACUGUUAUUGUUGUUAUUACUGUUCUUAUUUAAUAACAUUAAUAUGUUAUUAUUGAAAAUUGCCAAUCCAGCAACCAUCCUAGGUGCUGGCCAUAUGGAAGUCGUUGCUGUUCUCAGAUCACCCCCCCGGAUCAGGCCUCUGCUCCCGUUGUCUUUAUCUUUGGAAUGCCUAUUACCACCCUUCAGGUGUCUGAAUCCUAUCAGUCCUAAAGGGCCACCUCCUGGAAGCACUUCUUCUAACUUGGGAUAAAAAUCUCUUCUUUGGGGAGUUCCUGUUGUGGCUCAGUGGUUAACGAAUCUGACUAGGAACUAUGAGGUUGCAGAUUCAAUCCUUGGCCUCACUCAGUGGUUGGGGAUCUGGCAUUCCCAUGAGCUGUGGUGUAGGUCGAAGAUCCAGCUCAGAUCUGGCGUUGCUAUGGCUGUGAUGUAGGCCAGUAGCUACAGCUCUGAUUGGACCCCUAGCCUGGGAACCUCCAUAUCCUGCAAGAGCAGCCCCAGAAAAGAUAAAAAGACAAAAGCAAACAAACAAACAAACAAACAAACAAAAAACUCUUAAGGCAGGGGUUCUUAAACUUUUGCAGAUAUCUCAUUCACCUGGGGAGCUUGUUAAAAUACUGAUUCCUGGGCCUAGCACUGAAGAUCCUAAUUCAGGAUGUCUGGGGUAGGACCUAAGAAUUUACAUUUCUAGCAAAUUCCCAGGUGCUACUGACCCUGCUCAUUGACACUUUAAAUAGCACUGUUUUAGGGCCCUGAACACCUUAAAACUUCUGUUUUAGUUACUUGAGUACAAAUUCCUCCUCCAAGUAAACUGUAAGUUCUCAAGAGAAGGGCCAGCAUCUACCUUCUCUUCUAUCUGGAGGAGGCAGGCCUUGGGCUGGGACUUGAAGGAUGGGAAGGACUGGGAGCCCUGCAACAAGGAGCCUAGGACCAGGAAGUGAAAGCGUCUUAGUUGUGAGAUGAUGAUGAGAUAUGAAGGCGCAAGAGGAAAUAAGCCUAGGGAGAUGUGUCAGCCUGGAUUUUGAGAGAUGAGAGUGGGGGAGAACCUUGAAAGGCAGGCAGAAGCGUGUACAUUUGAGUUUCUAACCUGCAAAAGCCAAGGGCUGAACUGCAUGGUGUCAUGACAGUGGUUGUAUCAUGACAAUGGUCCUGUCCCAUUACCAAAGCUGUGUGGAGCUUGGACUCCCUCUUCACAUUCCCAGCAAUGUGCAUGUUCUAGAUGUGCCAUAGAUCUUCUAGCUCCCAAAGUCCAUUGUUCUGCAAAUGACUGUUAUCCACGAAAACAUGGACUAUGGCUCUGGGUGUGCCAACUGACCCUGCAUACCUGAACCAAACCAGAGCCUUGAGGUCACUGGGACUGGUACCCCCUCCCACAAAUCCUGGCUCAUUCCCUCUCUGAGGACCAGGUGCUGGUUUGUUUGGAAGUUGCUUGACCAAGAAGCCAGAAACAUCAUUGCCUCUAGAAAUUGGGUUCUUUUCUCAAUUUCAGCAUAAGCUUGAUUUAAGGAGAUAAUCAUUAGAAAGAAGGACAUGACCACCUGGAGGCAACAGAUCUGGGCUCAGUGAAAAGCCCUUGGUGCUGUUCUGCUGUUUUUCUGCUCUGCCUGCCUCACAGAGUACUGAUGAGGUUAAAUAAUUAAUGUCUGUGAAUGUACUCUGUAAGCUCUAAAGCACUGCAGGAAUAUAAUUAAUUAUGUUUAUAAUUACAGGUAAUGUAAUUAUAAUUGUAAUUACUUUGUGGUGGAAGCAGAAUAGAUCUACCCAUGCCUGUUCUCUAGUAGGGUAUCCUUGGUGGAUAUCCUUGGUGAGAUCAUCAAUUUACACGUUUGAGCUUGACUCACUCUCUCUGACUUUAUAUUCAACUUUGGGAUAUAUGUGAGACUUGGGCUCAAGGACUUCUGGCUGUACUUUAGAAAAUGGGAAAAAAACACACAGAGUGAAGCUGGCGGGGGGGGGGCAGUACCUCUGUGGUAAUAUUCUUUGGUGCUUAUCUAUCAGGUAGGUAAAGUUAAGGCAUUUAUUUAUGAAUUUACCUAUAUAUAGCAAUAGUUCUCAAAGAGCUCCUAUAGCUAAACAUAAAAAACCUACAUAUAUAGUCACUUAUGAUGGAGCAUGAUAAUGUGAGAAAAAGGAAUGUUCAUGAGUAUGUGUGACUGGGUCACCUUCCUGUAAGUAGAAAAUUGACAGAACACUGUAAACCAGCUAUAAUGGGGAAAAAAUCAUUAAAUAAAAAACCCCACACAUAUACACAAACAGUUUAUAUAACUGAUAUAUAUUUCUAACUGAUCAAAGCAGCAGUUAUUUCCAGAAAUCCGCUAGAAUCCAGUACAAUCUAAUAUGAUCACACUAAUGCUAAAUUACAAGUCUGUUCUAUAUAUCAAGCAAUGUUUAAUAAUACUAAGCUAAAAAUGUAAUAUAUUAUACUAUUUUGUUUGCUCAGCAAAAUGAAUAAACUUGAUAGGAAUGUCAGAUACUUUACUUCCUUCCAUUAACAUGCUUAAUCUUAAAAAAUGAUGGUAUUUGGGUCCAUGUUCUGGAGCAACAGCUGUAUUUGUGCCUGAGAAAGGCAUGCCAGGGCUAGGGAUUCUCAGAGAUCAUCAGAGAAGUCUUUACUGUUAAGAUGUAAGACCACCAGAACCACUGUCUGAAUUUUUCUCCAUUUGAAAGAUCGGUAUAAUGGUGACAUAUUUAACAGGGAAGAUGCUUCUGGUGUCUCCUUCCUUAAAAUGGCAAGAUUCUACCCGAGAAGCUAAAUCAUAUUUCUUUGAAGUCUCUGAUCUUCUGCCCUUGUUCCUAUGCACUGUUAAUUGUUGUUAAUUUCUAACACCUCAUUAAUUAUUUCCAUUAAAGAUGUGGGAGAGGGAAAUGCCCUUCACUCAUGGAUGGUCACACAAAUAAACCAUUAAUAAUUUUAAAAAGUGAGUUACUUUUAAAGCGAAAAGUGAAUUUGAGCCAUUCGCAUAAAAGUCUUUGUUUCUGAUGGCUAGGCUGUGACAUUCUGAAAUCCUGCCACUGUCAGUGUAAGCAGGGACAAUCAGGAGGACACAGUCUUGUGGCGGAGGAAGAAGCUGAGUCUCCUUUUGUUUCCUUAAUGAGUGUAACAUUUGGCCUCUAGAACAUAAUGUACUUUUCAGGGAACUUUUUACAACUGUUUCUUCCUUGCAAAAGAAGCCUAGAGGUGGAACAGUUUCUUCCAAUGUCACAGCCCAAGUCAGUCACACAAUUAGUACCUUACGUGGAGUUCCUAACUCCCACUCUCAUUCAGCCCAUCAGACCAUGCCAGGAGGUCAGCAGUCGGGCUGUGAUGACUUCCACUCCCACCUCAGGCUUUCACAGAGGUGGUGCCAAGACCAUUUCCCUGACAUUGGGCUGCCAGUCUUUGAAAAAAUGCUGAGAUUGACAUUUAGUGUUGAGAUUUUAAUUUAUUGCCUAUCUUGAAAGCUCAAGCAGAAGCAUCCUUCCCACAAGUUUUUAGGAGUGUUGAGAAUUAAACAUUGUAUUGGAAAAGAAACAUUGAAUAUGGCUUCUAGUUUUGACCAACUAGUGGAAGAUUUUAGGGUGUGGACAAAAGAUUGGGAAAAGUAGGUGAAAAAUUAUCUUAUGGGUGAAGAUUUCAACAGUGAAAUCUGGACAGCUUAAAUUCUAUAGCUAACAGUAGAGUCAUUGCAAGGAUAAUAUUUUGAACUUAAAGGCGGAUAUAAUUCUUUUAGUUGAACCCCUUGUUGCUAAUAAGAAAAUGGAGAUCCAGAGAGGAUCAGGCAACCCCUUAGCUGUGAAUAUGGGAAAUAUGGGAACUGAUCAUUUAAGGGGCUUUUAUGACUUCCAGUUUUGAUUCUGUUUUUCAUCUAGACUGUGAUCUCAAGAGCAUGGGGUGACAUCUCUCUCUUCUUCUUCCUGUUUCUCUUCCUUUUCUUGUUCUUCCAUGCCAGCGUACUGGGCAGGUAAGAGGGAACAACUUUCUACUUUCUGGAAUAGACUGAAGACUAUACCAGGCAGUGUUGGGGUAUCAGAUGACAUCGUGGACAAAGGCCAGGUGGCAAUUCUAAACAUUAGGCUGGUUUUGAGGAACUGUUUAACUUCAGGCCACUGUUUUUUCUCACCUGUAUAAUGAGGCACUUAUAUUUUAAUUCUUAAGGGUUAUCAGACAGUUGGAUUCUAAGGUCUGAAUUCCCCUAUAAUUUUUUCUGAUUGUUUUGACAGUUUCUCUUAAUUGCUAUAUAGUAGUCUAUGCUUGACACAACUCUGCAUUUUAAUUAUUCCCUCUUCUAUACGUGGACAUUGCAGUUGUUGGAAGUUUUGUUUUGUUUUCAUUAGAAGGCAUGCCACAAUAAAUAUUUUUGUACAAAUA